UCAUCUCCACCUCCUCCAAAACUUCUGCAGCUUCCUCCAGAGCACAGAAAAGGAAGAGAAAAGCUCCACUGGACACCUCUGUCACGCCACCCAUGGCACCACUCUCAGAAGUCACCACCUCGCCAUGGGGAGCAUGAUCCGCCUGCAAGCUCCCUUCAGGAGUGUAGAUCCAAGGUGCCAUGGGUGUGCUGUGACUUC
Molecule: long non-coding RNA, 198 nt
Organism: Coregonus clupeaformis (lake whitefish)
Lineage: Eukaryota; Metazoa; Chordata; Actinopteri; Salmoniformes; Salmonidae
Exons: 3
Source: RefSeq, a predicted model, not a curated record